Molecule: long non-coding RNA, 308 nt
Organism: Bufo bufo (common toad)
Lineage: Eukaryota; Metazoa; Chordata; Amphibia; Anura; Bufonidae
Exons: 3
Source: RefSeq, a predicted model, not a curated record
UCAUACCUGAUCACAAUCAAAUGUAUAGAGUAAACUGCAAACCAAUUUGAGCAAGUAGAACUAUAGGUCAAAGCUCAGAUAUACCUCUCAGAGAGAUCAUAAAGUGCUUAAAUAACUUAAAGUGAGAGUACAGAUCCUGAAAAGAGAAAUACAUCCACCAUUUUAUGUUGAAUGACAAGAUUGAACAGUUAAACCACCAUCUUAUGCAUGCCGCCAUUUUGUGAAUCUUUAUUUAACACGUGUUAUGUACAUGGACUAUCUGCUGCGGAGGCGGCAGUGUUAUAUAUGAAGAAAGGUUAAAGUUAAUA